RNAcentral lists this non-coding RNA (186 nucleotides) under Mycoplasma sp. RNAcentral describes it as "T-box sequence". It matches the Rfam family "T-box leader". Rfam says of the family: Uncharged tRNA acts as the effector for transcription antitermination of genes in the T-box leader family. The record is from RNAcentral. Lineage: Bacteria; Bacillati; Mycoplasmatota; Mollicutes; Mycoplasmatales; Mycoplasmataceae.
GUAAAUCAGAUGAAAAAAGACGGAAAUAAAUGAUAUUUCAAAGAGAGCUGUCAUUUGGUGAAAGGCAGUAAAUUAGUUUAUUUCAAAUCACUUUUCGAUGUGCUUAUAGCCGUUUAACUUGCGUUAAAAGUAAGAGUGUAUGAUAUCUCAUAAAAUAAGGUGGUACCGCGGUAAUUCGCCCUUAUG